UUUAAUUAUCAUAUAUAAAAGUGAAAAUACAAAAUAUAAAUUAAUUUUAGUUGGGGCAACUGGGAGGGAUAAAAAUCUUUUAUUAAAUCAUUUAUAGUAAUAUUUAUAUUUAUGAUCCAAAUUAGUUAAUUUUGAACUUAGAAU
RNAcentral lists this ribosomal RNA (144 nucleotides) under Ledella ultima. Its description in RNAcentral is "partial small subunit ribosomal RNA". The record is from RNAcentral. Lineage: Eukaryota; Metazoa; Mollusca; Bivalvia; Nuculanida sp.; Nuculanidae.